UAAUGUUUAUUUAACCGAAUUAACUGAAUCAAUAGUGAGUAUCAUGUUUAAGGCUCAGAUAAUGAUGAGUUUUCAAAGUUAAUAUAAUUUGAAAUAGCCACAAAAUUGAAAGUUAUGUAAUGCUAAUGUAAAUAUGAAAGGUGGAAUCAGAUUGGAUUGGAAGGGUCUUGAUCUUUUGCUGAUUCUUUAUGACCUGGAACAUUGAGUUUCAGAAUUCAAAGUCACUGGAUGCUACAAAAUAAAAAAAAAAGGAUUGAAUAGGCAAGCAAAUUCCAAAAGUAUAGUGGAACAAGGACAUUGAGCUAUAAUGGCUCUUUUAAGAUAAGGGUAGUAAAAGCACUUAAAUGAAUAACAUACCUUUAAUUUAUUCAACCUCAUGCCUUAAAUCCAUUAAAUAUAUUUCAUUAGACAUGUCUCUAAACUAGAGAUUAAUAAAAAUAAUCAAAAGUGAUUGAUAUAUUCUUUUUGACAAAUUCUUCACACUAAAUAUUGGACAAAAACAUCUAAUCUUGUAAAAGCUCACAAUAUUAGACUGAAAUUGUAAUCUUCAAUUCAUCAUAAAGCACAGUUGUCCUGCAGCAUUCUACUACCAUGAAAUUGAGAACUAAGAUUUAAUGUUUAUGAGAAGUCAGGGUAGUUUUAGACAUGCUAGCCCUCCAACCUUUUUCAUUUUCCCUAGCCACCAGUACUCAAUUCCCUUCAUAUACCUAGGAAGGGACAAAUAUUUUUUAGAGAUAAAUUAUAAGCACAUUAUAAUCCUAGUUGAAUGGAUUGACCAAAAAACUGUAAUACAUGAAAUGUUCAUUUCAAACAUGUAAAAGUACCCUUAUUCAAAGUUCAGGCAGCAGUACAUUUAUGAAGCAUUUUUCCAAAUAAAGACUACUAGGACCAAAGAAAAGGGUCUAUAAGUGAGUAAGAUCAAAUUCUCAAAUAAAAGAUAUAACUUUUAUAAUAAUUUUUUUAAUUUAAUAAAUAUCAUCCAGGUAGUUUCUACUUUCUACUCAAUUAAACUUAACAGUUUAACAAACAAAAAAGAAAUAUUUUAAAAAACCCAAAAAGAAAUCAAUAAAAAGAAACCAGAUUUAACAAACAAACACCUCAAUUAAUAGCAUCACACUUGAAGGAAAAAGGGGUUCCAGCAAUGACGUGAGCAACGACAAUGAAGAAGGUGCAUGAGUGAAGUGAUCGGACGGUGAAGGUGCGCCACUGCGUUGGGUUACUGUGGUCAGUGGUGAUUGGUGGCUGUCGGCACUCGGUAAUAGGGAGAUUUCAGAGGAAGCUAGAUAUUUGAGGAGAUGAGUGAUGACGAUGAAGAUAAAUGGGAAUGAGAUAACUGAUUAGUGAUUAGGGUUCUAGGAUUGGGGAUCUUUUUUGUUUUAGGUUAGAGAUUUUUGGGUUGGAUUAAGGUUAAUGGGGUAG
Molecule: long non-coding RNA, 1419 nt
Filed under: Gossypium raimondii (Peruvian cotton)
Lineage: Eukaryota; Viridiplantae; Streptophyta; Magnoliopsida; Malvales; Malvaceae
Description: long non-coding RNA (GRAI_LNC003070)
Source: RNAcentral